CAUUGCGCCCCCUGGUAUUCCGGGGGGCAUGCCUGUUCGAGCGUCAUUUCACCACUCAAGCCUCGCUUGGUAUUGGGCAACGCGGUCCGCCGCGUGCCUCAAAUCGACCGGCUGGGUCUUCUGUCCCCUAAGCGUUGUGGAAACUAUUCGCUAAAGGGUGCUCGGGAGGCUACGCCGUAAAACAAACCCAUUUCUAAGGUUGACCUCGGAUCAGGUAGGGAUACCCGCUGAACUUAAGCAUAUCAAUAAGCGGAGGAAAAGAAACCAACAGGGAUUGCUCUAGUAACGGCGAGUGAAGCAGCAAUAGCUCAAAUUUGAAAUCUGGCGUCUUCGACGUCCGAGUUGUAAUUUGUAGAGGAUGCUUCUGAGUAACCACCGACCUAAGUUCCUUGGAACAGGACGUCAUAGAGGGUGAGAAUCCCGUAUGCGGUCGGAAAGGUGCUCUAUACGUAGCUCCUUCGACGAGUCGA
This 470-nucleotide ribosomal RNA is filed under the name Dothideomycetes sp. RNAcentral describes it as "eukaryotic LSU rRNA". The stretch from base 201 to 470 matches the Rfam family "Eukaryotic large subunit ribosomal RNA", at positions 1 to 268 of the family's 3401-position model. Lineage: Eukaryota; Fungi; Ascomycota; Dothideomycetes. The record is from RNAcentral.